Molecule: ribosomal RNA, 253 nt
Filed under: uncultured bacterium
Lineage: Bacteria
Description: partial 16S ribosomal RNA
Rfam family: Bacterial small subunit ribosomal RNA
Source: RNAcentral
UACGUAGGUGGCAAGCGUUGUCCGGAUUUACUGGGCGUAAAGGGCGUGCAGGCGGUUUGCUAAGUCUAGGGUGAAAGCUCCCGGCUUAACUGGGAGAGGUCCUUGGAUACUGGCAGACUUGAGGAGGGUAGAGGAGAGUGGAAUUCCCGGUGUAGUGGUGAUAUGCGUAGAUAUCGGGAGGAACACCGGUGGCGAAGGCGGGUCUCUGGGCCGGUACUGACGCUGAGGAGCGAAAGCGUGGGGAGCGAACAGG